RNAcentral lists this long non-coding RNA (238 nucleotides) under Gossypium barbadense (sea-island cotton). RNAcentral's name for it is "long non-coding RNA (GBAR_LNC004023)". The record is from RNAcentral. Lineage: Eukaryota; Viridiplantae; Streptophyta; Magnoliopsida; Malvales; Malvaceae.
UUGCACUGAAGUUGCAGCCCUCAAAUAUGGCAGUAUUGACUGUUGAGCUUUUAAAGGAGUCAAUCUUGUAGCAUUAUUAGUGUGAGCCAAAAUUGUUCCAGAAUUCAUGGGCAAAGGGAGAAAAUCUAGGGUAAGCUUCACAUUGGCAACUUGAGUCCGGAUGUAUUGAAUUAGUACAUUCACAACUGUAUUACUCCCUUGACCUCGCACUUAAUUCCAAUGCAUCGUUCGAAUCUCG